Molecule: unclassified non-coding RNA, 356 nt
Filed under: Cercozoa sp.
Lineage: Eukaryota; Cercozoa
Description: partial contains small subunit ribosomal RNA, internal transcribed spacer 1, and 5.8S ribosomal RNA
Rfam family: Eukaryotic small subunit ribosomal RNA (bases 1-47)
Source: RNAcentral
AAAGUCGUAACAAGGUUUCCGUAGGUGAACCUGCGGAAGGAUCAUUAACACGUAUCCACGUAUCAAAACCCCUCUGUGCACUUUAUCUCUGUAAGGCCUGAUCGGAGUUGUACUCAUUCGAUCUUAAUGAUGGGAGUCCCUUUUGCCCCUCAGGGGAAAAAAGGCUCGGGAUCUAUGAAUGAGUAUCUCGUUUGACGCUCGGCCGCUAUUUUUCCAUCGUUAGCCCUUUUUUACCACUUUUAACCCCUUGUACUUUUUAUGUACUGAACCAAUUCUUCGAGUUUCGGCUUCGGCUGAGAUACGAAAGAUAUUACGAAACUAAAGAACAACUCUUAGCAACGGAUAUCUUGGUUCCC